AAACAUUGAAUCACAUUAGUUGUAGAUGAGAACAAAUCAAACCAAAAAGGAAAAUUCUCCCUCAUUCAUAAACCACCAUAAGGCCUUUCCUUCUCAGAUCAAUGCAUAUCCAAAAAUAAAAAAAGAAAAUUGAAUAGGGUCAAGGAACAAGAUCAGGAAAAUUAUAGAAACAAAUAAUCAUUCAUCAAUUGCAAAGAUUCAUCCCAAAAUAAAAACAAGUCUAAAACCUAAUUCAUUUGCAUAUAAAUAACAAGAGUUUUACAACAAAAAGAAGGGGAACCAAACUACAAAAGAUUUGAGGCAGAAAUUAGAGGAGAAUUAGAACAAAAAUAAUACUGAAAAAGAACAACACAAUUGCUGCGCCCCCUCCCCUGUUUUUCACUUUCAGCUCCACCAAAAUCUGAGUCGAGAGAACUAAAGAAAACGGCAGGCAAAAUUGAAAGGAGAAAAGGUGAAAAUAAUCAGAGGAAAAUUGUAGAGAAAAAGGAAGCCGAGAAAGAAGAACG
RNAcentral lists this long non-coding RNA (506 nucleotides) under Trifolium pratense (red clover). RNAcentral's name for it is "long non-coding RNA (TPRA_LNC008714)". Lineage: Eukaryota; Viridiplantae; Streptophyta; Magnoliopsida; Fabales; Fabaceae. The record is from RNAcentral.